GGCCCAUUGGUCAAGUGGCCUAAGACUCCGCCCUCUCACGGCGGCAACAGGGGUUCGAAUCCCCUAUGGGUCA
RNAcentral lists this transfer RNA (73 nucleotides) under Clostridiales bacterium. Its description in RNAcentral is "tRNA-Glu". It matches the Rfam family "tRNA". Rfam says of the family: Transfer RNA (tRNA) molecules are approximately 80 nucleotides in length. Their secondary structure includes four short double-helical elements and three loops (D, anti-codon, and T loops). Further hydrogen bonds mediate the characteristic L-shaped molecular structure. tRNAs have two regions of fundamental functional importance: the anti-codon, which is responsible for specific mRNA codon recognition, and the 3' end, to which the tRNAs corresponding amino acid is attached (by aminoacyl-tRNA synthetases). tRNAs cope with the degeneracy of the genetic code in two manners: having more than one tRNA (with a specific anti-codon) for a particular amino acid; and 'wobble' base-pairing, i.e. permitting non-standard base-pairing at the 3rd anti-codon position. Lineage: Bacteria; Bacillati; Bacillota; Clostridia; Eubacteriales. The record is from RNAcentral.